Molecule: long non-coding RNA, 189 nt
Filed under: Strongylocentrotus purpuratus (purple sea urchin)
Lineage: Eukaryota; Metazoa; Echinodermata; Echinoidea; Camarodonta; Strongylocentrotidae
Description: uncharacterized LOC115920602
Source: RNAcentral
AGUGUACGUUCAUGCAGAGCACAUUUUUCCACGGAUGUGAUCUGACAUAUCAUUUCAGAUGCUUAUUUAGAGGCCAGAAUUCCAGGUUUAGGAAAAUGGCAACGGUAUUUCAGAGUCGCUAGCAAUUUCCGCAAAAGAAGUUGAAUAAAAUUGCUCAACUGGCAUAUCGUUGAGUUCAUAUACAACCAA